Camelus dromedarius (Arabian camel) is the source of this 239-nucleotide long non-coding RNA. RefSeq lists it as uncharacterized. The transcript is spliced from 3 exons. The record is from RefSeq and is a predicted model, not a curated record. NCBI's taxonomy places the organism in Eukaryota, Metazoa, Chordata, Mammalia, Artiodactyla, Camelidae.
CCGCCCCCCGCGGAGACUCCCGGGAAAGCUAGGAUAGCCUGCGGCUAAUUCGGUCUGGCCUAGUUCGCCUGAGCCUUAGCUAGUUCUCUGCCGGAGAGUUUCUGAGCAGCCAGGUGUCCAGGCGGAUGCCAGCCCACCAGGCAGGCACUGGCCAAAUGAUUUCCUGACUGUGAUCUUACCCAUCUUCAUGGUGGAUUUCAAGGGGACAUAAAGACACUUCAGUAUCCAUCCAUCACCUU